CUUGACUAGUUGGCGUGACGAUGU
RNAcentral lists this non-coding RNA (24 nucleotides) under Arabidopsis thaliana (thale cress). The record is from RNAcentral. Lineage: Eukaryota; Viridiplantae; Streptophyta; Magnoliopsida; Brassicales; Brassicaceae.